This 725-nucleotide ribosomal RNA is filed under the name uncultured bacterium. RNAcentral's name for it is "bacterial SSU rRNA". It matches the Rfam family "Bacterial small subunit ribosomal RNA", at positions 771 to 1501 of the family's 1533-position model. The record is from RNAcentral.
AACAGGAUUAGAUACCCUGGUAGUCCACGCCCUAAACGAUGUCUACUAGUUGUCGGGUCUUAAUUGACUUGGUAACGCAGCUAACGCGUGAAGUAGACCGCCUGGGGAGUACGGUCGCAAGAUUAAAACUCAAAGGAAUUGACGGGGACCCGCACAAGCGGUGGAUGAUGUGGAUUAAUUCGAUGCAACGCGAAAAACCUUACCUACCCUUGGCAUGUACGGAAGCUUGGAGAGAUCUGAGUGUGCUCGAAAGAGAGCCGUAACACAGGUGCUGCAUGGCUGUCGUCAGCUCGUGUCGUGAGAUGUUGGGUUAAGUCCCGCAACGAGCGCAACCCUUGUCAUUAGUUGCUACGAAAGAGCACUCUAAUGAGACUGCCGGUGACAAACCGGAGGAAGGUGGGGAUGACGUCAAGUCCUCAUGGCCCUUAUGGGUAGGGCUUCACACGUCAUACAAUGGUACAUACAGAGGGCCGCCAACCCGCGAGGGGGAGCUAAUCCCAGAAAGUGUAUCGUAGUCCGGAUUGUAGUCUGCAACUCGACUACAUGAAGUUGGAAUCGCUAGUAAUCGCGGAUCAGCAUGUCGCGGUGAAUACGUUCCCGGGUCUUGUACACACCGCCCGUCACACCAUGGGAGCGGGUUUUACCAGAAGUAGGUAGCUUAACCGCAAGGGGGGCGCUUACCACGGUAGGAUUCGUGACUGGGGUGAAGUCGUAACAAGGUAACC